RNAcentral lists this long non-coding RNA (1739 nucleotides) under Mus pahari (shrew mouse). RNAcentral describes it as "predicted gene 9934 (MGP_PahariEiJ_G0004137.1)". Lineage: Eukaryota; Metazoa; Chordata; Mammalia; Rodentia; Muridae. The record is from RNAcentral.
AACGGCCUCCGCCCCUUUCUCCAGGUCACCCAGGCUCACGCCCUGGCCCGAUGGGCCGCCGCUGGCGCCGCCGCAGCCCACCCGGGACGGCUCAGUGAAGAAGGACGGGGGCAGGUUUCGGGCACGCAGAGGAACCUUCCUGGUGCCGGGAGCCACUGAGCUCACCGCGAUGCCCGCCCCGUCUCCCGCAGCGCUUGCUGCCCCGAGGCUCGAGGCUGACACCGCCUCCGCACCGCCAGCCGUUUCUGCACCCCCCGGGAUGUGGCGCAGAGAGUCGAAAAGGGCAGCCAGGCUCCGGCUCUGCAGGCUGGCCGCAGCUGCAGCCUGGGUCGCCUCCCUCCGCGGGGCGGCCUUACAGUGCGCUGGGGUCGCGACGGUCGGGGCUCCGGGGGCUCCUGUCGGCCGUUUGGCUGGAGCGUCUGCGGCGCUCGGGGACGCCGGUCUCGGAGGUGCUGACCCCAUGAGGCCACUGCAGCGCUUGAUCUGCUUCUGCAAGUACUUGCGGUGGUUCACUUUCCGCUUGGACUUGCCUGGCUUGUCCAGCGCCAGCUUGAUGUUGCUGGACGCCGAGUCUAUGAAGCUGAGCAGGUCGCGGGUGGCCUCGCGCACGUCCCCGCCCUCGGACCCCGACAGCAGCGCUCCCGCGGACGCCCCGCUCUCAUCGUCUUCGAAACAGCAGCCCUUGUCCAGACUUCCGAAGGCGCUCACCAGCCCGUCCGCGGAGCCUCCGAAACCGAAGGGUAUGAAGGGGUGCGAGCUGAGCAGCGCAGCCUGCACCGCCAUCGCCGCGGCUCCCCGGCUGUCCGCAGCGCGGCCCGUGCGCACCCGGCUCGCUCCAGCCCAGGCGAGGCGCUGUCUGCUCGCUCCGACCCAGGCUCUCGGCUCAGCCUCCCGGGGGAGCUCAUUAGAUCUUGUGUUGCUCCAUAGAGUGAGUGGAUCUUCUGCUGCAGUCUCAAGCAGAGGUCUCCAAGACAGAGGGGAAGGCUUUGAUUUCUCAGUAAUGAUUCUCCUUCUGCCUGGAAACGUGGGACUUUAAACAAGUCCUUCUGCGCGGAAUCCUCUGUCACUCAGUCUUUAUUCAAAUUCUUGGGGACACUAGACUCCAGUUGCGUCGAUGUGCAGUGGCAUCUGUCGGAACAAAGCACAAGUCGGCUGUGAGAUCACAGAGGCUUGCAGCAAAAUGUAAAAAUGCAAGAUGGAAACACCCAGGGCUGAGGUAAGGCCUGGCCACGGGAACAGCCCAACAGCUCAAUAUCCGGCUCACCAGACGGAAAUGCUUAAAGACCUCCAUCCUAUUAUACGAGGUUGAAUUCAUUCAAUUAAAGAGCUUAAGCAGCUCCGAUCAGCCACUGGAACACAUCUCUGCAGAACACUAAAACAAUGGCUUGGAGGGACAUUUGAGGUUUAUUUUCUCUUGUGGGAGGCCAGCUGGAGUUACCCAGUACACAGCCACACUGGGGAGGGCGGACACUGCAUAAUUGUAUUAAGCCUGCCUGUUCUUUGAGGAGAAUGCUUCCUGACUACAUCAAGAGAGGAAAUGAGUUAAAAGGGGGUGGGGGAACACUUUAAAGUCUUAGGACACUACACUUAGGUUUUAAGCCCUCUCCCCUCACCCUUAAAAUCACUUCUGAGAGGAGAAACUGAGUGUUGACUCUCCCAUCAAUGGCUAAUUUUGCUGUACUGUCAUUAUUCUUUCUUCAUGAUUAUUAAAUUGUCUUUCAUGGAGCAAUCAUGACAUU